This 265-nucleotide unclassified non-coding RNA is filed under the name Hevea brasiliensis (rubber tree). Lineage: Eukaryota; Viridiplantae; Streptophyta; Magnoliopsida; Malpighiales; Euphorbiaceae. The record is from RNAcentral.
GGGCUCUUUACGAAGUUCUACACUAUUUGAUGCAAUUUGAUACCAUUCUCUGACGCAAAUUUGAAGUAAAUAAACCUAGAAAAGGUUUAGAUGCAGCAGUAGGCAUUGCCCUUCUCCUGUACUUGUCUUUCCGCGUUACCAUUCAUAUUAAGCAAUCCCCAAUUUUUUGGUAUUUCAUCAAUUUUUUUUCUUUGUUUUAAACCUUCAAUUAAAUUUUGUGAACAAGAUGAAAUCUCUACCAAAACUUUUGCCAGACAGAAUUCAC